Molecule: ribosomal RNA, 713 nt
Filed under: uncultured bacterium
Lineage: Bacteria
Description: bacterial SSU rRNA
Rfam family: Bacterial small subunit ribosomal RNA
Source: RNAcentral
GGACAACCGUCCGAAAGGAUGGCUAAUACCGCAUAAGACCUGAGGGUGAAAGCCGGGGACCGCAAGGCCCGGCGCAGACGGAGCGGCCGAUGAUUGAUUAGCUAGUUGGGGAGGUAAAGGCUCACCAAGGCGACGAUCAAUAGCUGGUCUGAGAGGACGACCAGCCACACUGGAACUGAGACACGGUCCAGACUCCUACGGGAGGCAGCAGUGGGGAAUUUUGGACAAUGGGGGCAACCCUGAUCCAGCCAUGCCGCGUGCGGGAAGAAGGCCUUCGGGUUGUAAACCGCUUUUGUCAGGGACGAAAAGCUCCGGAGUAAUAUGCCGGAGUGCUGACGGUACCUGAAGAAUAAGCACCGGCUAACUACGUGCCAGCAGCCGCGGUAAUACGUAGGGUGCAAGCGUUAAUCGGAAUUACUGGGCGUAAAGCGUGCGCAGGCGGUUGGGUAAGACAGAUGUGAAAUCCCCGGGCUUAACCUGGGAACUGCAUUUGUGACUGUCCGACUGGAGUACGUCAGAGGGGGGUGGAAUUCCACGUGUAGCAGUGAAAUGCGUAGAUAUGUGGAAGAACACCGAUGGCGAAGGCAGCCCCCUGGGACGCAACUGACGCUCAUGCACGAAAGCGUGGGGAGCAAACAGGAUUAGAUACCCUGGUAGUCCACGCCCUAAACGAUGUCUGCUGGUUGUUGGGAAUUUAAUUCUCAGUAACGAAG